CGGAGAUGAUGUUCACCGUGAACUUCCACCAGUCCCCUGCCUUGUCCGCCUUCAGGAUGUGGAUCUGGACGGCUGCAAGGAAGCACAGGUGCCACCCAGCCCUGUCUUUGGGGACAGUCCCCCUUAGAGUCCAGGAAGACACUAUAGGAACUGACCACACCCCCUGAAUUCUGGGCAGAAUCCAGCUGUUCAGGCAAGUGCCCUCCAUGAGCACAGUGCUGGCCACUGGGGGCAGACCAACAUGGGCAGUACCUCCUGGCUAUUUCCAGUGGCCCCACCACCUAACAUCAAGCCUCAUGACACCCCCAGACACACAACCUUGCUCUUAAUCUAAGCUCAGACUGGGGUCGCAGUGCCCAGGGGCCAUGUACCCUGAGCAGCCCUUGAAGGCAGCCACAGCACCUCUUCUGAAGUCCACGGUCCUUGUACUAUCCCCUCCCAUCCCUGCCAGGCCACCCUGUCCUCUGGACCCUCCCCAAGCCCCCAGGCCAUUCCCCUCCCUUUCAGUUCUCUGCUACUAUUUCCCUGAGUAUGGGGGCUCUCUAGCUGAGGCAGGUAUCAGAAUCCCCUUGACAGCUUGUCACACACACGUCGCUGGCCUCGCCCCAAUUUCUGAUUCACCAGGUGUGGAGUGGGGCCCAGGAAGGCACACUUCUGACAAACUCCAGAUGGUGCUGAUCCAGGGAACACAGUUUGAGAAUCAAUGCCCUAGUGAAUGUCAACAGAUGCUAUUUCCACCGGAUAUAAGCUGUUCCUGGGCAUCCUGAACUUUGCACUCCAGUCUGAGGGCUCCAAAGAAUGGCUGCCAUGGCAACCGUUUCCAUGUUUUCGUCACCAAGGGACUCAACACUCAGUGUGAACUCGGAGGAGGGGGUGGGGAGCCCUCCAGCCUGGAGCAGUGGCUGGGCUGUGUGUGUUUGACUGUGCAGACAGAGGUCACCGUGGCAACUGAGUGCCCCUCAGCUAAGCAAAGGAGGGGAGCCGCCCCCAGCAUCCCCGGGAGCCCCAGCUUCCUCUCCUCAGGACUGAGCUGAAUGCAGAAUGAGCCUCCCCCAGGGUGCAGCUGCCGCCUGUGCGGGACCUCAGACCCCUGGCCCAGUCGCGGUGUCCCACCCUGCAGCCAGGGUGGGCUGAGGUGGCUCAACAAGGAUGAUGCCGAAGGCACCCCGGAGAAGGUGGCUUUGCUCAUGUACUGGUGUUACGAGCUGAACUGGGUAUCGCUCCCUGCCGGUAAAUUAAUACACUGAAGUCCUAACCCCCAGUAACUCAGAACGUGGCAGUAUUUGGAGAUAAGGUCUUUUAAGAGUUAGUUAAGAGGAAGUUCGAAGGGUGGGCCCCAACCCAAUAUGACUGGUGUCCUCAGAAGAUGAGGACACAGAGAUCAGGACACAGAAAUGCACGGAGGGAAGACCACGUGGAGACAGAACAAGACGACCGCCUCCAAGCCAGGGAGAGAGCCUCGGGUAACCACUCCCGACAACCCCUUGAGCCGGCACUUCCAACCGGCAAGACUGGGAGAAAGCAAAUUCCUGUUGUUUGAGCCCCUCAGUGGUACUUUGUUCUGGCAGGGCCAGCAAACUCAUAACCACUGGAAUUGAAGACUCA
Odocoileus virginianus texanus is the source of this 1605-nucleotide non-coding RNA. The record is from RefSeq and is a predicted model, not a curated record. NCBI's taxonomy places the organism in Eukaryota, Metazoa, Chordata, Mammalia, Artiodactyla, Cervidae.